GUGAAUCAUCAAAUUUUUGAACGCAAAUUGCACUCUCCUCGGAGAGUAUGCCUGUUUGAGUGUCAGCCUAUAAAAAAUCGACAUCGUUGCUGUUUCGCGGUGGCGUUCGUCGGAAACGGGGGCAUCUUAAAUCUUUUGUGUUUAAGCUACUUAAAAUUUUCUUUUUUGUUCCAUGAACGUUUCUUAGAUUUAUUUGUUUACACGUUUAAGGUAUCGGUUUUUAUUAGACAGUACCAU
This 237-nucleotide unclassified non-coding RNA is filed under the name Glomeraceae sp. RNAcentral's name for it is "partial contains 5.8S ribosomal RNA and internal transcribed spacer 2". The stretch from base 1 to 65 matches the Rfam family "5.8S ribosomal RNA", at positions 84 to 154 of the family's 154-position model. Lineage: Eukaryota; Fungi; Glomeromycota; Glomeromycetes; Glomerales; Glomeraceae. The record is from RNAcentral.